GACGAACGCUGGCGGCGUGCUUAACACAUGCAAGUCGAACGAUGAAGCCGGAGCUUACUCUGGUGAAUUAAUGGCGAACGGGUGAGUAACACGUGAGUAACCUGCCCUUGACUCUGGGAUAACUGCGGGAAACUGUAGCUAAUACCGGAUACGACCCUCGGAGGCAUCUCCUGGGGGUGGAAAGAAUUUCGGUCAAGGAUGGACUCGCGGCCUAUCAGCUAGUUGGUGAGGUAAAGGCUCACCAAGGCGACGACGGGUAGCCGGCCUGAGAGGGUGACCGGCCACACUGGGACUGAGACACGGCCCAGACUCCUACGGGAGGCAGCAGUGGGGAAUAUUGCACAAUGGGCGCGAGCCUGAUGCAGCGACGCCGCGUGAGGGAUGACGGCCUUCGGGUUGUAAACCUCUUUCAGCUAUGACGAAGCGCAAGUGACGGUAGUAGCAGAAGAAGGACCGGCCAACUACGUGCCAGCAGCCGCGGUAA
This 484-nucleotide ribosomal RNA is filed under the name uncultured bacterium. RNAcentral's name for it is "partial 16S ribosomal RNA". It matches the Rfam family "Bacterial small subunit ribosomal RNA", at positions 28 to 523 of the family's 1533-position model. The record is from RNAcentral.